This 253-nucleotide ribosomal RNA is filed under the name uncultured bacterium. RNAcentral describes it as "partial 16S ribosomal RNA". It matches the Rfam family "Bacterial small subunit ribosomal RNA", at positions 524 to 776 of the family's 1533-position model. The record is from RNAcentral.
UACGGAGGGUGCUAGCGUUGUUCGGAAUUACUGGGCGUAAAGCGCACGUAGGCGGCUUUGUAAGUUAGAGGUGAAAGCCUGGGGCUCAACUCCAGAAUUGCCUUUAAGACUGCAUCGCUUGAAUCAUGGAGAGGCGAGUGGAAUUCCGAGUGUAGAGGUGAAAUUCGUAGAUAUUCGGAAGAACACCAGUGGCGAAGGCGGCUCGCUGGACAUGUAUUGACGCUGAGGUGCGAAAGCGUGGGGAGCAAACAGG